GACGAACGCUGGCGGCGUGCUUAACACAUGCAAGUCGAACGUGAUUUUUGUGGAAAUUCUUUCGGGAAUGGAAAUGAAAUGAAAGUGGCGAACGGGUGAGUAACACGUGAGCAACCUACCUUACACAGGGGGAUAGCCGUUGGAAACGACGAUUAAUACCGCAUGAGACCACAGAAUCGCAUGAUAUAGGGGUCAAAGAUUUAUCGGUGUAAGAAGGGCUCGCGUCUGAUUAGCUAGUUGGAAGGGUAAAGGCCUACCAAGGCGACGAUCAGUAGCCGGUCUGAGAGGAUGAACGGCCACAUUGGAACUGAGACACGGUCCAAACUCCUACGGGAGGCAGCAGUGGGGAAUAUUGCACAAUGGGGGGAACCCUGAUGCAGCGACGCCGCGUGAGCGAAGAAGGUUUUCGAAUCGUAAAGCUCUGUCCUAUGAGAAGAUAAUGACGGUAUCAUAGGAGGAAGCCCCGGCUAAAUA
RNAcentral lists this ribosomal RNA (474 nucleotides) under Parvimonas micra. Its description in RNAcentral is "bacterial SSU rRNA". It matches the Rfam family "Bacterial small subunit ribosomal RNA", at positions 28 to 503 of the family's 1533-position model. The record is from RNAcentral. Lineage: Bacteria; Bacillati; Bacillota; Tissierellia; Tissierellales; Peptoniphilaceae.